UCUGCCCUUCAAACGUAGGCCACAUUUAUGUGUUUCUCCAAGCAUCACUCAGACGCACGACAUGAACGGAGAGAACCGUUUUACUUGUGAAAAUGAGCAUUGUCAGCAUCCACUCUAGCGAAGUGCAGUCGCACUGUUGAAUGUUUAGUGCUCUUUGGUGCUGUCAUGAAGUGCAAUAUCUAUACAUCUGUAUGUGCGUUGCCUGCCACUGCCCCUCCAAAAGAAGGAUCUCUCCUGGAGUAGAGUCAGUGAGAAGGCUGACUAUGUGAUCUCACUAAAAUAAGAAAGGGAGCUGAGAUAUUCAGAAUAUAUGGCCAGCACAUUCAGAUCCAGCGCAUGUCUGAAAGGAGCUUAUAUACAAAGGAAAAGAGCCUUCUUAUGAGGAAGUCUUACAUGUGCGUGCCGCCCAAGAGGAAGGAACCCCACCAGCUUCACUUGUAGCGACAAGAUGUGUUCAAUAUUCAACUGAACCCACUAAAUUUAAAUAGUAUUUUGGAAAAAAAAAAUCUUGCAUAUGUUUGGAGGUUACCAAAGCAAUGCAUUGCUUCAUCUUCAGAAAUUGCUCCAUACGGCAAGGUUUCAUAACAACAUGUCCCGCACAGCACCUCGUAUAUUUUGUCCUACCAGAGCUAAUGUAGCAUCCCUUCAAAUCGAGGGACUCCACGGGUGAGUUGAUGAGUAAACCUGCGCAACGAUAGGUCCACUGCUGUGUGUGAGAUUGGAAAGGAUGGGGAGGACAGAGUUCUUGUUGAAACAUGAAGACACAUACUGUUACACUUUGUCACACACACUACAGCCGACCUGUGGCUUUGACAUUUGGCUUUGUGUUUAUAGCCGAUAACCCACAGUUACUCAGUAUCCAGUUAAGGGAAGUUUGCAGAAGAAUGGCAGGCAUGUAGGAGGUGAUCAACUCUGCUUUCUGACUCAAAGUAAAAAGCCUCGUGGAGCUCUUUCCCUCUGCAGGUGUAAUUGACUGCCAGGGUUUGUGUGUGCCUCUGAGUGUGUGUUGUAACCUAUGAAACAUGAUGUAGAUGGAGAAAAAAAAUAAAUUUCUUCAUAAACUUGGUACAGUUUUCUUUGCAUCUGGAACAAGGUGGUUUGACAUUAAGAGAGUGUUACUUUCUUAUCAAAAAAUGAU
Oreochromis aureus is the source of this 1138-nucleotide long non-coding RNA. RefSeq lists it as uncharacterized. Lineage: Eukaryota; Metazoa; Chordata; Actinopteri; Cichliformes; Cichlidae. The record is from RefSeq and is a predicted model, not a curated record. The transcript is spliced from 3 exons.